CGCUUUGUGGUUCAACUGAUUUGAAGAGCUUGCUCAGAUAUGACGAUGGACAUUGCAAAGAGUGGCGAACGGGUGAGUAACACGUGGGAAACCUACCUCUUAGCAGGGGAUAACAUUUGGAAACAGAUGCUAAUACCGUAUAACAAUGACAACCGCAUGGUUGUUAUUUAAAAGAUGGUUCUGCUAUCACUAAGAGAUGGUCCCGCGGUGCAUUAGCUAGUUGGUAAGGUAAUGGCUUACCAAGGCGAUGAUGCAUAGCCGAGUUGAGAGACUGAUCGGCCACAAUGGGACUGAGACACGGCCCAUACUCCUACGGGAGGCAGCAGUAGGGAAUCUUCCACAAUGGGCGAAAGCCUGAUGGAGCAACGCCGCGUGUGUGAUGAAGGGUUUCGGCUCGUAAAACACUGUUGUAAGAGAAGAAUGACAUUGAGAGUAACUGUUCAAUGUGUGACGGUAUCUUACCAGAAAGGAACGGCUAAAUACGUGCCAGCAGCCGCGGUAAUACGUAUGUUCCAAGCGUUAUCCGGAUUUAUUGGGCGUAAAGCGAGCGCAGACGGUUAUUUAAGUCUGAAGUGAAAGCCCUCAGCUCAACUGAGGAAUUGCUUUGGAAACUGGAUGACUUGAGUGCAGUAGAGGAAAGUGGAACUCCAUGUGUAGCGGUGAAAUGCGUAGAUAUAUGGAAGAACACCAGUGGCGAAGGCGGCUUUCUGGACUGUAACUGACGUUGAGGCUCGAAAGUGUGGGUAGCAAACAGGAUUAGAUACCCUGGUAGUCCACACCGUAAACGAUGAGUGCUAGGUGUUUGAGGGUUUCCGCCCUUAAGUGCCGCAGCUAACGCAUUAAGCACUCCGCCUGGGGAGUACGACCGCAAGGUUGAAACUCAAAGGAAUUGACGGGGACCCGCACAAGCGGUGGAGCAUGUGGUUUAAUUCGAAGCAACGCGAAGAACCUUACCAGGUCUUGACAUCCCUUGACAACUCCAGAGAUGGAGCGUUCCCUUCGGGGACAAGGUGACAGGUGGUGCAUGGUUGUCGUCAGCUCGUGUCGUGAGAUGUUGGGUUAAGUCCCGCAACGAGCGCAACCCUUAUUACUAGUUGCCAGCAUUCAGUUGGGCACUCUAGUGAGACUGCCGGUGACAAACCGGAGGAAGGUGGGGAUGACGUCAAAUCAUCAUGCCCCUUAUGACCUGGGCUACACACGUGCUACAAUGGCGUAUACAACGAGUUGCCAACCCGCGAGGGUGAGCUAAUCUCUUAAAGUACGUCUCAGUUCGGAUUGUAGGCUGCAACUCGCCUACAUGAAGUCGGAAUCGCUAGUAAUCGCGGAUCAGCACGCCGCGGUGAAUACGUUCCCGGGUCUUGUACACACCGCCCGUCACACCAUGAGAG
This 1388-nucleotide ribosomal RNA is filed under the name Weissella koreensis. Its description in RNAcentral is "bacterial SSU rRNA". It matches the Rfam family "Bacterial small subunit ribosomal RNA", at positions 67 to 1410 of the family's 1533-position model. Lineage: Bacteria; Bacillati; Bacillota; Bacilli; Lactobacillales; Lactobacillaceae. The record is from RNAcentral.